GAGGCGGCCGGGUGCGCUCACUGGCGUCAUCAUACGCACGUAUUUUGACGCUGGUGGGCGAGGACUCGGCCCUGGGCGCUCCUGGGUUUUCCGUCCCCGCUUUUGAGGACGAGGCCGAGGGGAGACCCACAGGCGCCCAGGCAGGUCACGGGCAGCAGGCAGCCGAGCCGGUGCCCUCCACCUCGCGGGAUGUCAGGCCACCUG
Long non-coding RNA from Ixodes scapularis (black-legged tick), 204 nucleotides. RefSeq lists it as uncharacterized. The transcript has 3 exons. Lineage: Eukaryota; Metazoa; Arthropoda; Arachnida; Ixodida; Ixodidae. The record is from RefSeq and is a predicted model, not a curated record.